UUUUCUCAUUCAACCCCUUGGUUUUCAAUAUCAUUUAUAUGCUAACAACUCUCAAAAUGAAAUAUUCUCUCUAACCCCUAUCCCAAGCUCCAGACUUGUAUGUUAGCAUCUCCAGUUGGAUGUCUCAUUAGCAUCUCAAAUGGAACUCUGAAUCUCUGCUCCAAAAUAGGUACCUUCCUCAGUUUCCUCAGCUUGGUAAAGUGACUUCAGUCCUCUCAACUGCUGAAGGAAAAUGCCAGGAGGCAUUGCUGGUACUUUUCUGUCCCUUAUUUCUAGUUUGCAGCAAAUUCUGUCUCCCUCCCUCCAAUAUAUCUCAAAUCCACCUCCUCUGCCCAUCCUCUCGUUCAUCAUCCUUCUCUAAGCCAUCAGUAUCUCUAUAUGAACCACUGCAACUGCCCCCAAUCACUUUCCUGCCUAUAAUCCCUCCAAUGAAACUGGUUGUAGGACUAUGGAAAUGAUACAGUUUGUGGGUAGGCAAACCUCCUCCUCUCUGAGAGGAAGUGGGACAACCUUUUGCUUCUGAGUUCUUCAAAUCAUUUCUCAAGUUCUUUCCUGUAUUAAUUUUCUAUUGCUUCUAUAACAAAUUACUACAAGCUCAGUGGCUUAAAUCAAUGCAAACUUAUUAUCUUAUAGUUCUGGAGGUCAAAAGUUCUAAAAUCAAGGUGUUGACAAGGCUGCGUUCCUUCAGAGGCUCUAGCAGGGAAUCAAUUCCUGCUACUCUAAGUAGCAGCCAGAGUGAACCUUUUCAAAUAAGAAUGCUGUUCCCUCAUUGAAACACAUCAAACCAUUAGGAUGGCCUAUAAGACCCGGAUCUCGUCUGUCCAGUCUUUCCAGCCUCCAGUUCUGGCACUUUCCCUUUUACCCGACUAAUGAACUCAUAUGAUUUGCUUUCAGGUCCCUGAACGUUACUGCUUCUCUAUCCCUGGAAAUCAACUCCCCUAAUUUCCUAAUGUGCUUUGUCUUUCUUCACCACACAUGGUAGUCCAAAAUGUCAAUUCCUUAAGGGCAAGACUCUGUUCAGGUCACCUUUAUGUCCCUUCUCAGAAACAGAGAAAGCAUUGGACCUCAUCCCUGGUAAAAAUGCACACAAGCGAAAAUGUUCACAUGUAGUUUUUAGGGGUUCAUAAGGUCAGCUUGCUCAAAGGUUAGAGUAUUUGGUUUUUAAAAUACAUAUCAGGCGUGGGAGAUUCUCCUGGUUGCUGUAGCAGUCAAAAAACCCCUAUAAAGUGAUGGAUAAAUUGCCUCAUAUCAUCACUCAAUGUUACAGGUUUGACAAACUAGCCAACUGCCUGCAUUUCAAUGGGGACCACUGUCUUAUACCAUGUGGGUCAGCAUACAACAGCCCAUGGGACAGGCCCCGCUUACUGCCCGUUUUUGUAAAUAAGGUUUAAUUGGAAUAAAGCCACAUCCAUUCAUUUACAAAUUGUCUGCGGCUGCUAUCUACAAUGGCAGCAGAGUUGAGUAAUUGCUACAGAGACUGUAUGGCCCACAGAGCUCGAAAUACUGUAUGGCCCACAGAGCUCGAAAUACUGUCUGGCCCUUUAUAGAAAAAGAUUGCCAAGGCUGGCUGCAGUGACUCACGCCUGUAAUCCCAGCACUUUGGGAGGCCGAGGUGGGAGGAUCACUUGAGCUCAGGAGUUUGAAAGCAGCCUGGGCAAUAUAGUGAUACCUCAUCUCUUUAUAUUUAAUAAAAAUAAAAAUAAAUAAAAAAGAAAAAGAUUGCCAACUCCUGAUCUAUACAAACAUUCUGCACCAGUUUUUAUGUACAUGUGGGUAGAAGACAAAGCUGCCAGCUUAGUCUUCUUGGGAGAAAAUGAGAAGUGACUGCUGCUGGGCAAGCCAUAAUAUGAUGCUCCUUCAAAUCAAAACUCUUUACAUCUUUGUUCAACAUGUAAUUGGUAAGGAUGGGGAGAAACUUAUUUCCUAUUAAUAAAAGCCAUAUACCUCUUCCUUUAGCUCA
This 1960-nucleotide long non-coding RNA is filed under the name Pan troglodytes (chimpanzee). RNAcentral's name for it is "long non-coding RNA NONPTRT017494". The record is from RNAcentral. Lineage: Eukaryota; Metazoa; Chordata; Mammalia; Primates; Hominidae.